This 429-nucleotide ribosomal RNA is filed under the name Bacteroidota bacterium. RNAcentral's name for it is "Bacteroidetes bacterium partial 16S ribosomal RNA". It matches the Rfam family "Bacterial small subunit ribosomal RNA", at positions 355 to 776 of the family's 1533-position model. Lineage: Bacteria; Pseudomonadati; Bacteroidota. The record is from RNAcentral.
UAGGGAAUCUUCCGCAAUGGACGCAAGUCUGACGGAGCAACGCCGCGUGAGUGAAGAGGGAUUUCGGUUCGUAAAACUCUGUUGUUAGAGAAGAACAGCGCAUAGAGUAACUGUUAUGCGUGUGACGGUAUCUAACCAGAAAGCCACGGCUAACUACGUGCCAGCAGCCGCGGUAAUACGUAGGUGGCAAGCGUUGUCCGGAUUUAUUGGGCGUAAAGCGAGCGCAGGCGGUCAAUUAAGUCUGAUGUGAAAGCCCCCGGCUCAACCGGGGAGGGUCAUUGGAAACUGGUUGACUUGAGUGCAGAAGAGGAGAGUGGAAUUCCAUGUGUAGCGGUGAAAUGCGUAGAUAUAUGGAGGAACACCAGUGGCGAAGGCGACUCUCUGGUCUGUAACUGACGCUGAGGCUCGAAAGCGUGGGUAGCAAACAGG